CCCUUAGAUGUUCUGGGCUGCACGCGCGCUACACUGACAUACUCAGCAAGUUUCCUUGCCUGAAAGGGUUGGGUAAUCUUGUUAGUGUAUGUCGUGAUGGGGAUAGAAUAUUGUAAUUAUUGCUCUUUAACGAGGAAUUCCUAGUAAGCGCAAGUCAUCAGCUUGCGUUGAUUACGUCCCUGCCCUUUGUACACACCGCCCGUCGCUCCUACCGAUUGGGUGAUCCGGUGAAUGAUUCGGACUCUGGCUAUGCUAGCUACUAGCUACGUCAGGGAAAGUUUUGUGAACCUUAGCACUUGGAGGAAGGAGAAGUCGUAACA
Molecule: ribosomal RNA, 320 nt
Filed under: uncultured eukaryote
Lineage: Eukaryota
Description: partial 18S ribosomal RNA
Rfam family: Eukaryotic small subunit ribosomal RNA
Source: RNAcentral